GACGUAGGGCGCGAGCGUUGUCCGGAUUUAUUGGGCGUAAAGAGCUCGUAGGCGGCUUGUCGCGUCGACUGUGAAAACCCGGGGCUCAACUCCGGGCCUGCAGUCGAUACGGGCUGGCUUGAGUGCGGUAGGGGAGACUGGAAUUCCUGGUGUAGCGGUGAAAUGCGCAGAUAUCAGGAGGAACACCGGUGGCGAAGGCGGGUCUCUGGGCCGUAACUGACGCUGAGGAGCGAAAGCGUGGGGAGCGAACAGG
This 253-nucleotide ribosomal RNA is filed under the name uncultured bacterium. Its description in RNAcentral is "partial 16S ribosomal RNA". It matches the Rfam family "Bacterial small subunit ribosomal RNA", at positions 524 to 776 of the family's 1533-position model. The record is from RNAcentral.